GCAGGGCGUGGUUGCAUGCCUGUGGUCCCAGCUACUCAGGAGGUUGAGGCUGGAGAAUCGCUUCAGCCCAGGAGUUCUGGGCUAUAGUGUGCUAUGCCAAUUGGGUGUCCACACUUAGUUCGGCAUCAAUAUGGUGACCUCCCGGGAGUGGGGGGCCACCAGGUUGCCUAAGGAGGGGUGAACCGGCCCAGGUCGGAGAUGGAGCAAGUCAAAGCUCCCGUGUUGAUCAGUAGUGGGAUAGCGCCCGUGAAUAGCCGCUGCACUCCAGCCUGGGCAACAUAGCGAGACCCCGUCUCAU
Molecule: signal recognition particle RNA, 298 nt
Filed under: Myotis davidii
Lineage: Eukaryota; Metazoa; Chordata; Mammalia; Chiroptera; Vespertilionidae
Description: Metazoan signal recognition particle RNA
Rfam family: Metazoan signal recognition particle RNA
About the family: The signal recognition particle (SRP) is a universally conserved ribonucleoprotein.
Source: Rfam by way of RNAcentral